GACGAACGCUGGCGGCGUGCCUAAUACAUGCAAGUUGAGCGCUGAAGGUUGGUACUUGUACCAACUGGAUGAGCAGCGAACGGGUGAGUAACGCGUGGGGAAUCUGCCUUUGAGCGGGGGACAACAUUUGGAAACGAAUGCUAAUACCGCAUAAAAACUUUAAACACAAGUUUUAAGUUUGAAAGAUGCAAUUGCAUCACUCAAAGAUGAUCCCGCGUUGUAUUAGUUAGUUGGUGAGGUAAAGGCUCACCAAGGCGAUGAUACAUAGCCGACCUGAGAGGGUGAACGGCCACAUUGGGACUGAGACACGGCCCAAACUCCUACGGGAGGCAGCAGUAGGGAAUCUUCGGCAAUGGACGAAAGUCUGACCGAGCAACGCUGCGUGGGUGAAGAAGGGUUUCGGAUCGUAAAACUCUGUUGGUAGAGAAGAACGUUGGUGAGGGUGGAAAGCUCAUCAAGUGACGGUAACUACACAGAAAGGGACGGCUAACUACGUG
RNAcentral lists this ribosomal RNA (497 nucleotides) under uncultured bacterium. RNAcentral's name for it is "partial 16S ribosomal RNA". It matches the Rfam family "Bacterial small subunit ribosomal RNA", at positions 28 to 507 of the family's 1533-position model. The record is from RNAcentral.